Molecule: ribosomal RNA, 1309 nt
Filed under: metagenome
Description: bacterial SSU rRNA
Rfam family: Bacterial small subunit ribosomal RNA
Source: RNAcentral
GGGGACCGCAAGACCUUGCGCUGAUUGAGCGGCCGAUAUCAGAUUAGCUAGUUGGUGAGGUAAAAGCUCACCAAGGCGACGAUCUGUAGCGGGUCUGAGAGGAUGAUCCGCCACACUGGAACUGAGACACGGUCCAGACUCCUACGGGAGGCAGCAGUGGGGAAUUUUGGACAAUGGGGGCAACCCUGAUCCAGCCAUGCCGCGUGAGUGAAGAAGGCCUUCGGGUUGUAAAGCUCUUUCAGCCGGGAAGAAAAUGCAUGGGUUAAUACCCUGUGCAGAUGACGGUACCGGAAUAAGAAACACCGGCUAACUACGUGCCAGCAGCCGCGGUAAUACGUAGGGUGCGAGCGUUAAUCGGAAUUACUGGGCGUAAAGCGUGCGCAGGCGGUUUUGUAAGACAGGCGUGAAAUCCCCGGGCUUAACCUGGGAACUGCGUUUGUGACUGCAAGGCUAGAGUACGGCAGAGGGGGGUGGAAUUCCACGUGUAGCAGUGAAAUGCGUAGAGAUGUGGAGGAACACCAAUGGCGAAGGCAGCCCCCUGGGUCGAUACUGACGCUCAUGCACGAAAGCGUGGGUAGCAAACAGGAUUAGAUACCCUGGUAGUCCACGCCCUAAACGAUGUCAACUAGGUGUUGGGAGGGUAAAACCUUUUAGUACCGUAGCUAACGCGAGAAGUUGACCGCCUGGGGAGUACGGCCGCAAGGUUAAAACACAAAGGAAUUGACGGGGACCCGCACAAGCGGUGGAUGAUGUGGAUUAAUUCGAUGCAACGCGAAAAACCUUACCUACCCUUGACAUGUCAGGAACUUUCCAGAGAUGGAUUGGUGCUCGAAAGAGAACCUGAACACAGGUGCUGCAUGGCUGUCGUCAGCUCGUGUCGUGAGAUGUUGGGUUAAGUCCCGCAACGAGCGCAACCCUUGUCGUUAAUUGCCAUCAUUCAGUUGGGCACUUUAACGAGACUGCCGGUGACAAACCGGAGGAAGGUGGGGAUGACGUCAAGUCCUCAUGGCCCUUAUGGGUAGGGCUUCACACGUCAUACAAUGGUCGGUACAAAGGGUCGCCAACCCGCGAGGGGGAGCCAAUCCCAUAAAGCCGAUCGUAGUCCGGAUUGUAGGCUGCAACUCGCCUGCAUGAAGUCGGAAUCGCUAGUAAUCGUGGAUCAGCAUGUCACGGUGAAUACGUUCCCGGGUCUUGUACACACCGCCCGUCACACCAUGGGAGCGGGUUCCGCCAGAAGUAGGUAGCCUAACCGCAAGGGGGGCGCUUACCACGGCGGGGUUCGUGACUGGGGUGAAGUCGUAACAAGGUA